This is a non-coding RNA of Podarcis lilfordi (Lilford's wall lizard), 73 nucleotides long. The record is from the annotation of a GenBank genome assembly. NCBI's taxonomy places the organism in Eukaryota, Metazoa, Chordata, Lepidosauria, Squamata, Lacertidae.
GCUGGGAUAGCUCAGCUGGUAAAGCAUGAGACUGCUGAUCCCACAGUCGUGGGUUUGAGCCCCAUGUUGGGCA